RNAcentral lists this long non-coding RNA (214 nucleotides) under Elaeis guineensis (African oil palm). RNAcentral's name for it is "long non-coding RNA (EGUI_LNC037337)". Lineage: Eukaryota; Viridiplantae; Streptophyta; Magnoliopsida; Arecales; Arecaceae. The record is from RNAcentral.
AAGAUAUUUUUGUUUGUUUAAAAAAAAAAAAAGAGAAACUAGCAUGAAUAGAAUGAGUUUGAGAUCUCACAUAAUUUUAUUAUAUCAAAAUCUUGUGAAGCAAGUAUUAUAUAAGGCAAAUUAUUAAAAGCUCGAGGAUGACAUAAUCGAUGUUCUUUUAAAGUUAUUGAUCAAGUAAAGUUAAUUUCGAGGACGAAAUUAUUUUAAGGAUGGG